AGUGAACGCUGGCGGUAGGCCUAACACAUGCAAGUCGAACGGCAGCACAGUAAGAGCUUGCUCUUACGGGUGGCGAGUGGCGGACGGGUGAGGAAUACAUCGGAAUCUACUUUUUCGUGGGGGAUAACGUAGGGAAACUUACGCUAAUACCGCAUACGACCUACGGGUGAAAGCAGGGGAUCUUCGGACCUUGCGCGAUUGAAUGAGCCGAUGUCGGAUUAGCUCGUUGGCGGGGUAAAGGCCCACCAAGGCGACGAUCCGUAGCUGGUCUGAGAGGAUGAUCAGCAACACUGGAACGAGGAAACGGUCCGGCCUCCUACGGGAGGCAGCAGUGGGGAAUAUUGGACAAUGGGGGCAAGCCUGAUCCGGCCAUACCGCGUGGGUGAAGAAGGCCUUCGGGUUUUAAAGCCCGUUUGUUGGGAAAGAAAAGCAGCAGGUUAAUACCCCGCUGUUCUGACGGUACCCAAAGAAUAAGCACCGGCUAACUUCGUG
This 492-nucleotide ribosomal RNA is filed under the name uncultured bacterium. RNAcentral's name for it is "partial 16S ribosomal RNA". It matches the Rfam family "Bacterial small subunit ribosomal RNA", at positions 29 to 507 of the family's 1533-position model. The record is from RNAcentral.